UUUCACCGAAAUAAUAAAUAUUAUUCGAUCUUACUAAUCCCUGAUAUAACUUUAAACGGAAUUUUAUUUCAAUGUCAACAACAUGAUCAAGGCAAAACGUGUUUGUAUAUUGAGGCUAGCAUAAUCCUAGUUAACCACUUGGGAAUUAAUCUAGUUAUAAAUGUAAAAAAAAAAAAAAACCCAAACUACUCUACCUUGACAUUCCCUUCAUGGUGCUGAAGCAGUGGUUUGAAAAAAGGUGCCGGUGACGGUAUGGAAAAAAUAUUCAUCUUCAUUCUGUCAGACAAAUGAUGUAAUGUUUACAUAGUGAUUGUUUACGUUGCAUUAUAUUGACUUACUGGAGUUGUUAUUGUCAUCAAAGUGCAGAAAUAUUACCUGGCAGAAGGGCUGAGAAAUGCAACCAAUAGAAAUCCCACAGUCACAAACACAGGUCCCAGGUACGUGGUCAAGGUUAAUAAUAUGUUGUCUUGUUCUGCACGAACACAUCAUGGUAAAACUUCGAACAUCAAAUGUAAGGAAAUUCAAAAAAAAAAAAAAAAAAAACCUUUUCAAGAUCUUAAAAAAAAAAGUUUAGUUAAUGAUAUUUUACGCAUGAAAAUUUUAUAAACAAUAUAGAACAAUUUUUUUUUUGCAUGGCUACAGUCAGUGUAUCAGGACUUUUUACUGAAGAAAUAAUAAGCCAUGCGUUACCUUCCUUUGCAAAAUCCCCGCAAAUCUUUGAACUCCAUUCACUCCAGGUCCCACUGUAAUCUCUGACAAAGGCUUUUGAUCUCACUUUAAAGCAAUAUGUAGCUGGUGCUUCAAGUCUUUCUCUCAGAAUUGACUUAAAAGUUUUUUGCAGGGUCUUUAAAAAAACAAAA
Cynoglossus semilaevis (tongue sole) is the source of this 860-nucleotide long non-coding RNA. RefSeq lists it as uncharacterized. Lineage: Eukaryota; Metazoa; Chordata; Actinopteri; Pleuronectiformes; Cynoglossidae. The record is from RefSeq and is a predicted model, not a curated record. The transcript is spliced from 2 exons.